UAGGGUAAAGGCAAUGUGUUCUUCCCUUCCCUCUGAUUACCGCACACUGAUUCCUCUUACUGGUCUCUCCUCUGUUAUGUGGUUAGACUCUUCAUGGAUUUUGAAUCUUUUUGAACUCCUACCACCAUUGUAUCAGUGGGAUGUGUAGUGUGUGCAAUGCAGAUAAUCCCAGAAAUAACAGCUGAAGGACAUCGUGGAGCAGCCAGGCAAUGGAGAUCAACCUAGGAGGACAUCUCUUUCACCAUGACAUCAAACAUAUUCCCUGAUGUCAUCGCUUUUUAACAGGUCUUAUUAUGUCGCCCUGGUUGGACUAAAACUAUGUGAAAACACUGUCCUCAUACUCACAAAGUUCCUUCUGCCUCCUGAAUGCUGGAAUCAAAGGCUCAUUUAUCCUGUUGCUACAAAAUUUCUUCACUGACAUUACAAACAACUUCUAUGGGAGUGCAAUGUAAAUUAAUUACCAACAGCUUCCAGGAAUCCUCCAGGACAUCAGGGCCAGAUUGGAACUGACGAUACAUCCGGCCCUGUGAACAGAACAACUGUUGGAUUCUCUGCCUCUUCAGUGUGAGAUGCCACUGUUGGACUAUCAUGAUCAUAUCCUUUUAAUAUAUGUUAUCUAUUUUAAGUAUCAUCUAUUUUAAUAUAUUUA
Molecule: long non-coding RNA, 649 nt
Organism: Mesocricetus auratus (golden hamster)
Lineage: Eukaryota; Metazoa; Chordata; Mammalia; Rodentia; Cricetidae
Exons: 5
Source: RefSeq, a predicted model, not a curated record